Molecule: transfer RNA, 74 nt
Filed under: uncultured archaeon
Lineage: Archaea
Description: tRNA-Val(gac)
Rfam family: tRNA
About the family: Transfer RNA (tRNA) molecules are approximately 80 nucleotides in length.
Source: RNAcentral
UGGCCUUGUAGUCCAACGGCUAAGACGCGUCCUUGACGUGGAUGAGACCGAGGUUCAAUUCCUCGCAGGGCCAU